Molecule: transfer RNA, 62 nt
Filed under: Cnizocoris sinensis
Lineage: Eukaryota; Metazoa; Arthropoda; Insecta; Hemiptera; Phymatidae
Description: tRNA-Cys
Source: RNAcentral
GGCUUUAUAGUCAAGUUGAUGAUAUUAGACUGCAAUUCUAAAGUAGUAUUUUACUAAAGCUU